Molecule: long non-coding RNA, 914 nt
Filed under: Equus asinus (donkey)
Lineage: Eukaryota; Metazoa; Chordata; Mammalia; Perissodactyla; Equidae
Description: lncRNA (ENSEASG00005037635.1)
Source: RNAcentral
AACUGCUAACAUGUAUUGAGCCCCACUGUGUGCUUGGCAACCCUGGGAGGGUACCAUCCUCAUCUCCCUUUAUGCCGCGGAUGCAGAGCUCAGAGGGAGCAAGGAGCUAACCCGAAGCCACACAGCUGGUUAGGGGCAAUGCGGCAUUCCAGCCAAGACCCUAGUGCCCUGUCUGCCUGGGGACCCACCAGCUGCCCUGGGCACCCGUCUCGGGCAGCGGGCGGGGGGUUGGAUGCAGAGGCAGCACCCAGGGACCAGCUGCGGCUCUCACCCCCACACCCAUCCAGCUCCUCUGCCUGCUAAUUGUGGGGUUGCAGGACGUCAGCUGCCUCCCAGGCCCCGGGCGGGCUCCUACCAAUGGAGCAGGAGCUCCCUCCACAGCAUCCCACUCCUCCUCCAGCCCCACAGACACAGCUGCGCUGGGGGUGGUCCCCACGGUGCUGGGACCCCCACCCCUCCGGGAGGCAGCCUGAAAAGGUGUCAGUAUGAAGACUUCCUCCAUAGCUUUCCAAUCUCCCAGGCUUCCCCCCGUCAGAGAGGAGCAUGGGCUCUCCACCACUCAGGAACAGCCAUGGCUCCCCAUUGCUGGACAAGUCAAGUUUCACCCCACAUCGUGGCCCGUGGGUGCUCCAGACUCACCCUUAAGCACGUUCCUCAAGUGGCCUUGGUCUCAGGUCCCUGUUGCUCCAGGAUAAAGUCCAGACGGGCCCCUUGCUACGGCCUCUGCCUCCCCCACGGGCUUCCCCAGCAUCCUCUCUCUACUUGCCCUCGGCCAGAGCACCAGUGGCCUGGGCAACAGCUCCACAGUGACCGGGGCAUGCCUCAUCUCUCACAUCUGGACUUGAGCUCCGAGGGCAGGGGUCCUGCCUGUGGGAAUCUGGAUCUCCCGGGAAAGGACAGAGAGCAUCAUUGAG